GGUCAAUGCACUCUGUGGUGGCACAGAGAUAUGCAAUUUUAUCACCUUGUAUAAAAUGUAUGAUCCUGCUAGAAAGAGAUUAUCAAUUGCAAUAAUGUAAUCUCUUUUUUGUUAUAAACAGAUAUCUUGUGAUUAUUUUGACAAUUCCUGUCUCAAAAUCUAUGCAUGCAUAAAUUAUUUACUUUUCAUUAUGUAUAUCUUGAUUCAUACCUUG
Molecule: unclassified non-coding RNA, 214 nt
Filed under: Hevea brasiliensis (rubber tree)
Lineage: Eukaryota; Viridiplantae; Streptophyta; Magnoliopsida; Malpighiales; Euphorbiaceae
Source: RNAcentral